This is a non-coding RNA of Dipodomys ordii (Ord's kangaroo rat), 65 nucleotides long. The record is from Rfam. Lineage: Eukaryota; Metazoa; Chordata; Mammalia; Rodentia; Heteromyidae.
GGUGGCUCAAUGGUACAGUGCUUGCCUUGCAUGCAUGAGGCCCUGGGUUCAAUUCCUCAGCACCA